GCUUGGGUAGCAAAGAGGGUAAAUGCUUAAGAUUUAGGUUCUUACAUCGAAGGUUCAAUUCCUUCCCCCAGCUU
This 74-nucleotide transfer RNA is filed under the name Pycnopodia helianthoides. Its description in RNAcentral is "tRNA-Leu". It matches the Rfam family "tRNA". Rfam says of the family: Transfer RNA (tRNA) molecules are approximately 80 nucleotides in length. Their secondary structure includes four short double-helical elements and three loops (D, anti-codon, and T loops). Lineage: Eukaryota; Metazoa; Echinodermata; Asteroidea; Forcipulatida; Asteriidae. The record is from RNAcentral.